RNAcentral lists this ribosomal RNA (440 nucleotides) under uncultured bacterium. RNAcentral describes it as "partial 16S ribosomal RNA". It matches the Rfam family "Bacterial small subunit ribosomal RNA", at positions 338 to 795 of the family's 1533-position model. The record is from RNAcentral.
CCUACGGGGUGCUGCAGUGGGGGAUAUUGCACAAUGGGGGAAACCCUGAUGCAGCGACGCCGCGUGUGGGAAGACGGUCCUCUGGUUUGUAAACCACUGUCCCCAGGGACGAAGAUGACGGUACCUGGGGAUGAAGCUCCGGCUAACUACGUACCAGCAGCCGCGGUAAUACGUAGGGAGCAAUCGUUGUCCGGAAUUACUGGGUGAAAAGGGAGCGUAGGCGGGAUGGCAAGUUGUGUGUUAAAUCUACCGGCUAAACUGGUAGUCGCACUCAAAACUGCUAUUCUUGAGUGAAGUAGAGGCAGGCGGAAUUCCUAGUGUAGCGGUGAAAUGCGUAGAUAUUAGGAGGAACACCAGUGGCGAAGGCGGCCUGCUGGGCUUUUACUGACGCUGAGGCUCGAAAGUGUGGGGAGCAAACAGGAUUAGAUACCCCUGUAGUC